CUGGUCAGCUUGCUGACUGGUGAGAGUGGCGAACGGGUGAGUAAUGCGUGACCAACCUGCCCCAUGCUCCAGAAUAGCUCUUGGAAACGGGUGGUAAUGCUGGAUGCUCCAACUUGACGCAUGUCUUGUUGGGAAAGUGUUUAGUGGCAUGGGAUGGGGUCGCGUCCUAUCAGCUUGUAGGCGGGGUAAUGGCCCACCUAGGCUUCGACGGGUAGCCGGCCUGAGAGGGCGGACGGCCACAUUGGGACUGAGAUACGGCCCAGACUCCUACGGGAGGCAGCAGUGGGGAAUAUUGCGCAAUGGGGGGAACCCUGACGCAGCGACGCCGCGUGCGGGAUGAAGGCCUUCGGGUUGUAAACCGCUUUUGAUUGGGAGCAAGCUUUCGGGUGAGUGUACCUUUCGAAUAAGCGCCGGCUAACUACGUGCCAGCAGCCGCGGUAAUACGUAGGGCGCAAGCGUUAUCCGGAAUUAUUGGGCGUAAAGAGCUUGUAGGCGGUUCGUCGCGUCUGGUGUGAAAGCCCAUCGCUUAACGGUGGGUUUGCGCCGGGUACGGGCGGGCUAGAGUGCAGUAGGGGAGACUGGAAUUCCCGGUGUAACGGUGGAAUGUGUAGAUAUCGGGAAGAACACCAAUGGCGAAGGCAGGUCUCUGGGCUGUUACUGACGCUGAGAAGCGAAAGCGUGGGGAGCGAACAGGAUUAGAUACCCUGGUAGUCCACGCCGUAAACGGUGGACGCUGGAUGUGNGGCCCAUUCCACGGGUUCCGUGUCGGANCUAACGCGUUAAGCGUCCCGCCUGGGGAGUACGGCCGCAAGGCUAAAACUCAAAGAAAUUGACGGGGGCCCGCACAAGCGGCGGANCAUGCGGAUUAAUUCGAUGCAACGCGAANAACCUUACCUGGGCUUGACAUGUGCCUGUCGACUGCAGA
Molecule: ribosomal RNA, 925 nt
Filed under: Gardnerella vaginalis
Lineage: Bacteria; Bacillati; Actinomycetota; Actinomycetes; Bifidobacteriales; Bifidobacteriaceae
Description: bacterial SSU rRNA
Rfam family: Bacterial small subunit ribosomal RNA
Source: RNAcentral